GGCGAAAUAGUUUAAAUGGUUAGAACAUCAGAAUCAUAAUCUGAAUGUUGGGGGUUCAAUUCCCUCUUUCGCUA
Molecule: transfer RNA, 74 nt
Filed under: Monomastix sp. OKE-1
Lineage: Eukaryota; Viridiplantae; Chlorophyta; Mamiellophyceae; Monomastigales; Monomastigaceae
Description: tRNA-Met
Rfam family: tRNA
About the family: Transfer RNA (tRNA) molecules are approximately 80 nucleotides in length. Their secondary structure includes four short double-helical elements and three loops (D, anti-codon, and T loops).
Source: RNAcentral